Molecule: ribosomal RNA, 253 nt
Filed under: uncultured bacterium
Lineage: Bacteria
Description: partial 16S ribosomal RNA
Rfam family: Bacterial small subunit ribosomal RNA
Source: RNAcentral
UACGUAGGGGGCAAGCGUUAUCCGGAUUUACUGGGUGUAAAGGGAGCGUAGACGGCAGUGCAAGUCUGGAGUGAAAGGCGGGGGCUCAACCCCCGGACUGCUCUGGAAACUGUACGGCUGGAGUGCAGGAGAGGUAAGUGGAAUUCCUAGUGUAGCGGUGAAAUGCGUAGAUAUUAGGAGGAACACCAGUGGCGAAGGCGGCUUACUGGACUGUAACUGACAUUGAGGCUCGAAAGCGUGGGGAGCAAACAGG